UACAGAGGUCCCAAGCGUUGUUCGGAUUCACUGGGCGUAAAGGGUGCGUAGGUGGUGAGGUAAGUCGGAUGUGAAAUCUCCAGGCUCAACCUGGAAAUGGCAUUGGAAACUACCUUGCUAGAGGGUUUGAGGGGGGACUGGAAUACUUGGUGUAGCGGUGAAAUGCGCAGAUAUCAGGAGGAACACCGAUGGCGAAGGCAGGUCUCUGGGCAUUAACUGACGCUGAGGAGCGAAAGCAUGGGGAGCGAACAGG
Molecule: ribosomal RNA, 253 nt
Filed under: uncultured bacterium
Lineage: Bacteria
Description: partial 16S ribosomal RNA
Rfam family: Bacterial small subunit ribosomal RNA
Source: RNAcentral